This 2628-nucleotide long non-coding RNA is filed under the name Eucalyptus grandis. Its description in RNAcentral is "long non-coding RNA (EGRA_LNC000906)". The record is from RNAcentral. Lineage: Eukaryota; Viridiplantae; Streptophyta; Magnoliopsida; Myrtales; Myrtaceae.
UGAGUCGUACUCAGGAUCAUCCCGAUCCUCUCCUGACUCUUCUUCACUAAGCUCACAUUAUUCAAGCUCUUCAUCUUUUACCGGCUCAUCGUCCUCUUCUAGUUCCUUCUUCACAGGCUCAUCUACAGGCCUGGAAUGUUGUCCCACAACUGGAAUGAGACUAUGUCUCAGCAAGUUCUACCCCACUAAGACUCGAUUAGGAAACCAAUAUGCUAACCGGGCUGCCUAUACACGCACGGGUCAAAGGACUUACUUGGGCCUCAGAUUCCACCUGCAUAUUAGCACAGUUCAAUAGGCACCCAAGCAAUUACAUCACAGAUCAAUAUCUCGAUCCAUCAACCUAGUCGAUUUCAUGUCAAUUCGACCAUUCCCUAGUCGUUUCCCUUAUUCAAUCUCAAAUCGUACUCACGACUUCACGAGCAUAGUCUAUCAAAUUUCUUGGCAACAAAUUACAGUCCAAAAGACACGACCUAUCUUUAGGUGGCAAAUUACGGCCCAAUGGGCGCGACCUUUUAUAGGUGGUAGAUUACGGCCUUAUCAGGCGCGACCCCUAUCAGGUGGCAGCUUACGACCUUAUCAGGCGCGACCUAUAUCAAGUGGCAGAUUAUGGCCUUAUCAAGCGAGACCGACUCCAAAUUCGGUGGCAGAACUCGGCCCUACUGGCACAGCCAUACUUUGGGCGACUUUCGAGGUUCAACUCACAACCUCUCACAGUCAAAUUCUAAUUGAAUGCCGACACUGAUCAAUUUUGGGAUAAAUCCCCACAUACUCAUCAACUUACUCAAUUUUCACACGAUAUUAACGUACCCGAUGGAUCUUAGCCAAGAGUAUAUUCAAUUCACUCUCACAAACUUCUCCACUUAAUAGCCCAUCAAAGCAUUAUUGACGCUAAACAAUCAUACUCGGCCAUCCGCAACUCAAUUAUUCAAUCUUAAUCAAUUUAGGAAUAAUUCCUCAAAUUGCACAAUUAAUUCAAUUCAGCACAACGUAGAGCUCAAAUAAAUAAAUAGACUGCGCCACGACAAUUAGCACAAGAUUUCGGUCGUCAGCCAUCUCAAACUUAAUUUCCGAAAAAUAAUUAAUUAAUUAAUUAAUUAAUUUCGAAAAUUAAAUAAUUAAUAUUAAAAAUUCGAUUUAGCUCAAAAUAAAGCUCGAUUAAAUAAACGGACUUCACCACGGUCAUCAGCAUAAUAUUCCGGUCACUGGCCAUCCUAGUUGAAUUUUCGGAAAAUAAUUAAUUAAUUAAUUAAUUCCGAAAAAUAAUAUUUAAAUAUAAAAAUUUCCACUUAGGCCCGAAUUGUCAAAUUGAAGCCCGAUAAAGGGUCGGAAAAAUCCCAAGCUACCCUCAAUAAAUAGUAGACCAUGUCUACUUGCUAAAUUCACAUUCAAUUUGUCUAAUUUGCAUCACAAUUAACUAAUAAACACUAAUCUAACCACCUAAUUGCACUUAAUUAAAUCUAAUCAACCCUUAAGCAUCAUUAGUCUACUAAGCAAUGAUUAGUGAGAUUACUCACUUGCGCAAAGUGAAGACCGGGACACUGCAACGACAACGCGACGGCCACUGAAAUCAGGCUUUCGACGACACCGGUAGGCUUGGACCGGGCCUUAAACUUGGCCCAACAAAUCUCAGCCCAAGUUGGGAUUUGUUCUUGCUUUUGGGCUGGACCCAAGUUGGGUUGGGCCUGCUGAAGAUGGGCCGAAAAAUGGGCUUGGGUUGCUGUGAACUGGACCGAAUUCCAAUGGGCUAAGCUACUGGACUUUUGGGCUUCAAAUGGACCAUUUCACGGGCUUGUUGGGCUUGAACACAACCGAAGAUGGGCUUGCUGUAGGACUCACGGGCUGGGCUGAAUCGUGGACUGAAGAACUGCUUCGCUGGGCUGCUCGAAAGAUUUUGUGGACUGAAUCCACCGGGCUGCUAGCUUCGGCGAUGACGGGCCGAAGAAGACACACGGAAUGGAGUUGCUUUGGCGAGGAUGGGAUUCUCGCGGCCUGGCUUCUCGCGGACUGGGACGGCAGCAGCAACUUGCUUCGGUUUCUGCCGUGGUCAACGAGGGAGAAGGGGACGCUUGCUUGUUGACCGAAGAGGCGGAAUCGUGGGACAGAUGGCCACGAAUGAAGGUGGAGAACAGGGCCUUGGGUCUUCGGUGGAGGAACAGAAUCAAGAUGGAGCGGUGGAGAUGCGAACAAGUGGCAACGUGGUCUCCUUUGUUGAUGGUUGACCGAGCAUGGAGGAAGACGUGGACGUGGCAGCUUCAAGAGGUUUCAGUGGGGCGUGACUUCGGUCCGCAACGCUUCAAGGAGUUGGACUGUCUUCGGUGAAUCAAGAGUGGGGCGAAUGAUGGAUGAGACGUUGGGGAUGGGCUGCUUCACUUUGGUGGGUUAUGCGUGGAUGGAGAGAAAAUGGGAAUGAUGGGAUGAUGAUGACCUAAACAACUUCGUGGAGGGAGAUGGAUGUGGGAUGGUGGAUGAAGGGGUGUGUGGCAGCAACAAGGAGAGAAAACGAAAGAGAAGGGAAACGGAGGGGCUGCUGGAUCCGCGUGGCUUCGCUGGCAGGGGAGGUCUUCGGUUCGUGGCAGCUGAGUUUCCCCAAGAAACAAAAUGAAGAAAAUGAUCAAUAGGAGCAGCUGG